GAACUUUAAUACCGUGAUAGGAAAUAGGGUGAGGGGUCCUUACUUGUUUUCGAGAUCCGAAUACGAUUCACAGUGCGCCUGCAGGCCGUCCCUAAUUUUCCCUGAAUUUUUUUUCCCGGGAAACUGAAACACACUAACAGUACCUGCACGUGUUCCAAAAAAAUCCAAAUUAGGCCCAGGGCCUCUUUCGGCCCAAAUCGCAACUCCGGCACGGCGGCUCCGCCGUGCUCCGGCGACGGCGCCGCCGCUGGCAGCGGCGAGUCGCCUCGGGUUGGCUGUUUUCGGCCACACUCGCAUUGGUCCUUGUUAGAAAACAACCCUAGGGCCUCGGGGGGCCAAAAAAUCACGGAAAAA
RNAcentral lists this long non-coding RNA (354 nucleotides) under Carica papaya (papaya). Its description in RNAcentral is "long non-coding RNA (CPAP_LNC015056)". The record is from RNAcentral. Lineage: Eukaryota; Viridiplantae; Streptophyta; Magnoliopsida; Brassicales; Caricaceae.